RNAcentral lists this ribosomal RNA (445 nucleotides) under uncultured bacterium. RNAcentral describes it as "bacterial SSU rRNA". It matches the Rfam family "Bacterial small subunit ribosomal RNA", at positions 354 to 796 of the family's 1533-position model. The record is from RNAcentral.
GUGAGGAAUAUUGGUCAAUGGGCGAGAGCCUGAACCAGCCAAAUCGCGUGAAGGAAGGCGGUACUAAGUAUUGUAAACUUCUUUUAAUGGGGAGUAAAGAGGGGCACGAGUGCUCCGUUGCAAGUACCCAUUGAAUAAGGAUCGGCUAACUCCGUGCCAGCAGCCGCGGUAAUACGGAGGAUCCGAGCGUUAUCCGGAUUUAUUGGGUUUAAAGGGUGCGUAGGCGGGUUGUCAAGUCAGCGGUGAAAGGUUACGGCUCAACCGUAAGAAGGCCAUUGAAACUGACAAUCUUGAGUGUAGAUGAGGUGGGUGGAAUUCGUGGUGUAGCGGUGAAAUGCAUAGAUAUCACGAGGAACACCGAUUGCGUAGGCAGCCCACUGGGCUACAACUGACGCUGAGGCACGAAGGUGCGGGGAUCAAACAGGAUUAGAAACCCUAGUAGUCC